This 29-nucleotide non-coding RNA is filed under the name Rattus norvegicus (Norway rat). The record is from RNAcentral. Lineage: Eukaryota; Metazoa; Chordata; Mammalia; Rodentia; Muridae.
UAGAUGUGUUAGUGGUUCAAACUCCAGCU